UUGCACGUGAGAUUAUUAUGGUCUGUUUCUUAGGAGAAAAAUGCAUAAGAAGGCACUUGAGCAAAGAUGUCAAUUUGUUCUUUAAUUAAUCUAACUGCUGUCGAGGACAAACCUUUGAGAUUUUCUCAACAUGGUUGUAUUAAGGCAGUGGACAUUUCAAGAUAAUAAAAAUGGACAGAACUGGUAUUUUCCUGAUCAGAGGCACAUGAUACAACUAUAAGGCAGACUGGAGCCAGUUGUAACUAGACUGAGUAGAUGACUUUAUUCCAUGGAAACGGUAACGUACUGUCCUAUAAAUUCAGAAUGCGCACAUACCCACCCUUGAGCACACAUCACUCACAUGAGUGACCAAACCCGCUGCACAGAGGAAGAGGCAGGAAGUUCCUUCUUUCACUUCCAGUCAUGCUGCAUUGGGCAGCUUGUGGUGGAACAGAAGGUCUCUGCAUGGUGGGCAGUGUGGGCGGACUUCGGGAUUCACCGUGAAAAACAAUAACGAGCCAAGGACACUUCCCAAGCAGGGGUUCAAAGAUAUGCGCUCAUGGGGCUGAUAUAUACGGGGCACCUCUGAGGCUCGUCUGACUGGGCCUGCCACUUGUGUUUUGUGUAGACGGAGCGAAAGGGAACGAGGAGACAAGGAUCAUGUCCUCUCUUGGAGAAGUGCUAACUUGGGCAGGGAAAGGAAUUUUUUGUGGUUUAUUCAGAGAGCGGCUCCAUCUGUGUAAACUGGCGCUUGCCAGGAUGUCGACUCCCUCGCUUUCUGCACAGACACACGCUUAACCCCUUCAACACCUUCUGCUCACCAUAUCUGCUAGUCACAGUCACAAACAAUUACACAGCUAACAAGAUAAUCUUACUUAAUAUUGCAAAGUAAAAAUUACAUCUUGCAAAAGCAGAAUCAACCAAAAACAAGACAAACCCUUUUGAAAAAGAAGUACACUACAGUAUACUAUUGCUUAUUACAAAAGGAAUACACUUUAAAGUAAAAGUAAAACGUUUAAUUCGACAGGAUUACAAAAUACUUAAGUGUUCCAUGAAACAUCAUCAACAGUGUCUCUUUUUAAGUACACUUAAGUGGCCUUUUAUUUAAUUAACAUUAAAUUAUCUGCAAGUACAGUUCUGCAAGUUUUUGAAGCACACCACAAGUGCACAUGCUAUACAACUGUCAUGUUAACAAUACCAAUUUACCAUGUUAACAAUAGUUUCUGAUAAAACAUCAUAAUUACAACAGUUUAUGUUGCUACAAUAAAGCUAACUUGCUAUUAGCCCCCA
Molecule: long non-coding RNA, 1269 nt
Organism: Cyprinus carpio (common carp)
Lineage: Eukaryota; Metazoa; Chordata; Actinopteri; Cypriniformes; Cyprinidae
Source: Ensembl